GCCAGCAGCCGCGGUAAUACGUAGGAGGCAAGCGUUGUCCGGAAUUACUGGGUGUAAAGCGCGUGUAGGCGGCAGGCCAAGUCUGCGGUGAAAUCGCCCGGCUCAACUGGGCGGAGUCCGUGGAAACUGGUCGGCUGGAGGACGGUAGAGGUGAGUGGAAUUCCCGGUGUAGUGGUGAAAUGCGUAGAGAUCGGGAAGAACACCCGUGGCGAAGGCGGCUCACUGGGCCGGUCCUGACGCUGAGACGCGAAGGCGUGGGGAGCGAACGGGAUUAGAUACCCCGGUAGUCCACGCAGUAAACGAUGCAUACUAGGUGUGGGGGGUAUCGAGCCCCUCCGUGCCGCAGCUAACGCAGUAAGUAUGCCACCUGGGGAGUACGGCCGCAAGGUUAAAACUCAAAGGAAUUGAUCGGGGGCCCGCACAAG
This 425-nucleotide ribosomal RNA is filed under the name uncultured bacterium. RNAcentral's name for it is "bacterial SSU rRNA". It matches the Rfam family "Bacterial small subunit ribosomal RNA", at positions 507 to 929 of the family's 1533-position model. The record is from RNAcentral.